AAAAAAUUGUAGUAAAUGAUGAACAAAGACAGGCUCCUACAAACACUAUGGAACACUUUUACACAUGUUGUUCAUUGGAUCUGGGAUUUGGCACCACUGUCGAUACCGAGGCAGAGAGACUAUAGAGCUCUUCAGGGAAAUUUAGAAAUUCAUAAGUGAACCCCAGGAAGAAAUGCUUACCUAAUCAUUGAAGUUUAUGAAAUUCAUUGUUUGAAACAGAGCUUUAAUUCACCAAACAUACACUCUUUCAUGGUAGGCUGAAAUAUAGCUUCAUUUCUUUUCAUAAUGGAU
This 291-nucleotide long non-coding RNA is filed under the name Chinchilla lanigera (long-tailed chinchilla). Its description in RNAcentral is "lncRNA (ENSCLAG00000027535.1)". Lineage: Eukaryota; Metazoa; Chordata; Mammalia; Rodentia; Chinchillidae. The record is from RNAcentral.